GACGAACGCUGGCGGCGUGCUUAACACAUGCAAGUCGAACGGAAAGGCCCGGCGUUUGUGGGGUGCUCGAUUGGCGAACGGGGGAGUAACACGUGAGUAACCUGCCCUUGACUUUGGGGGAACUUCAGGAAACUGGGGCGAAUAUCGGGGAGGAUCUCCUGCUGCAUGUUGGGGGUUGGAAAGAUUCGGCGUUGGGGGAUGGACUGGAUGCUUAUCCGCUUGUUUGUGUGGUAGUGGCUUACCACGGCUUUGAAGGGUAGCCGGCCUGAGAGGGUGAACGGCCACCUUGCGCCUGCGAUAGGGCCCAGACUCCUACGGGCCGCAGUAGGCGGGAAUAUUGCACAAUGGGGCGACGCCUGAUGUAGAGACGUCGCGUGCGGGAUGCUCGCUUUCGGGUUGUAAGCCGAUUUCGCAUGUGCCGAAGACUGCGUGACGGUACCGGGUAAAAAAGCCACGGCUAACUACGUG
RNAcentral lists this ribosomal RNA (468 nucleotides) under uncultured bacterium. RNAcentral's name for it is "partial 16S ribosomal RNA". It matches the Rfam family "Bacterial small subunit ribosomal RNA", at positions 28 to 507 of the family's 1533-position model. The record is from RNAcentral.